RNAcentral lists this ribosomal RNA (492 nucleotides) under uncultured bacterium. RNAcentral's name for it is "partial 16S ribosomal RNA". It matches the Rfam family "Bacterial small subunit ribosomal RNA", at positions 29 to 507 of the family's 1533-position model. The record is from RNAcentral.
AGUGAACGCUGGCGGUAGACCUAACACAUGCAAGUCGAACGGCAGCACAGUAAGAGCUUGCUCUUACGGGUGGCGAGUGGCGGACGGGUGAGGAAUACAUCGGAAUCUACUUUUUCGUGGGGGAUAACGUAGGGAAACUUACGCUAAUACCGCAUACGACCUACGGGUGAGAGCAGGGGAUCUUCGGACCUUGCGCGAUUGAAUGAGCCGAUGUCGGAUUAGCUAGUUGGCGGGGUAAAGGCCCACCAAGGCGACGAUCCGUAGCUGGUCUGAGAGGAUGAUCAGCCACACUGGAACUGAGACACGGUCCAGACUCCUACGGGAGGCAGCAGUGGGGAAUAUUGGACAAUGGGCGCAAGCCUGAUCCAGCCAUACCGCGUGGGUGAAGAAGGCCUUCGGGUUGUAAAGCCCUUUUGUUGGGAAAGAAAAGCAGCAGGUUAAUACCCCGCUGUUCUGACGGUACCCAAAGAAUAAGCACCGGCUAACUUCGUG